This is a long non-coding RNA of Nymphalis io (European peacock), 968 nucleotides long. RefSeq lists it as uncharacterized. NCBI's taxonomy places the organism in Eukaryota, Metazoa, Arthropoda, Insecta, Lepidoptera, Nymphalidae. The record is from RefSeq and is a predicted model, not a curated record. The transcript is spliced from 3 exons.
GAAGAAUGUUGGGCCGCUUGCGAAAUUUAUGCUAACGCUCCUUGUUGAUUGUUUCUGCGCUCUUUCGUUAUGGUUUUAUGGGAAAGGCAGGCGAAAACGGAGCACCUGGUGAUAACUCAACUCAGUGCAAAUCAUUUCAAUACCUUGGAGAACGUGGCAGUAUGGGAGUAGCUAUCAAACAGCCGCCUCAACCGACACCGCAAUGAAGCCAGCGCCCGCCCGGGACCGGUUUCCGCGUCGGGGCCGGGUGAAACUGUCAUCCACUGGUGCAUCGUGACGUAUAUAUGUAACAUACUACAUAGUUAGAUGUCACUAUAAUAUUGCUACAUAGCCUUAACUAUAAAAUGCUUGACAAUAAUUGAUUCGUCAUAAAACACAUUACAAAGCUAUACAUUCAUAUUUUCAAAUAAAUAGAUUCGUAAAUAAACCCAGACGGCUUGAAUGAUAAAUAAUCUACAAAUGUACAGUGUGUAUCGACGACUCCACAUAAAUUCACGUUAUGGGGUCGCAUUUGUCACCGGUAAUGUGGUGCGCGCAAUAUUCAUGGCCGUUUCCGUAUAGCCAAGAAUUGCUCCCACGGAAUAUUCCAGUUUGAACGCUUAUUUUAAAAGGGAUUUGUUUUUAAACUUCAAUUGUUGUUUUUUUUUAUUUAUGCCACAACUCACACUGACUUCGAAAAUAAGAGUUUAUUCCAGGGAUAUUUUCAGAGAUUUCAAUGAAUAAGUUAUUUUAGUAAGUACGUGCCUUCAAGAGACUUCGAGAGUCCGACGAGUAAGUGUAAGAUUUCAGGUGACGUCAGGGUAAGAUUUGUUAAUUACACAUCAAUUCUAGUGAGUACUUCUAGCUCCGAAUGAAAUCCAUCCUGAGGUCUCCUAUAAAGUCGAUUAAUUAAGUUAUGUGCAUACUUUAAUCGAUUUUAAAAAUUGGAGGUUAUGUGUUAAAAACCAAGCAUUCAUAAAUAAUAUAAA